RNA transcript from Daphnia pulicaria, 1417 nucleotides. RefSeq lists it as uncharacterized. Lineage: Eukaryota; Metazoa; Arthropoda; Branchiopoda; Diplostraca; Daphniidae. The transcript has 10 exons. The record is from RefSeq and is a predicted model, not a curated record.
CCAAGUCUCUGGGCGAGAGAAGGCGGCUUAAUCAUGAGUGAAACAGCCACUCUCUAUAUACUUUGCCGUAGCUCAAACAGCUAUGACAUCUGAUAUCACUUUACCGUCUUGUAAAUCACACGUUAAGUAGCCGGAUUCAAGUUUUAAUUUUUUAAACAUAAUAACCGUAAUCAUAACUAUUAAGUUCAUUUGUUAAAAAUUCCAGUUUCAUUUCAGAACUGAUUUAUUUUAAAGAAUAAGUAAAUAAACGUGCUCGCUCUGCAGUUUUUUCUCCCCUAGCCAGAUCUCCCCUUCGGCCUUCAACGCGUCGCUUGCCCAGUGCAUAGGCCAUAGAUUUCCAUCUAUCGGUUAAAAUGGCGUGGUUCAUUAGCGUCAUGAAGAUGGCGUCAUCUGUCCAUCAAUCCAUCAUCAACCUCAUCGUUAAUUUACAAAUACAAACAAGAAAAAAAAUCGAUUUUGAAUCGUUUUUAUGUCAAGCAGACGCCAAGCAUCUUUGAAUAGCGUGGUCUGUGCUCUAUGAUAAGUGUUACUGCUGGAGUGAGCAAUUUCAGAUAGCGUCAUGAUGGCGUGCCCCGUUAGCGUCAUGAUGGCGUGCCCCGUUAGCGUCAUGGUUGGCGUGCCCUGUUAGCGUCAUGGUUGGCGUGCCCUAUGUAAGCGUCGUGAUUGGCGUGCCCUGUGUUAACACAAUAUGCUUUCUUUAUUCGUGUGCUGUGAUUUCAACACCAGCAUUGGUCAGAGGAGACUCGCAAGCAGCAAGCUAGAACCUCUUCAUCAGCCAGAAGCUUGCUACAAAGAAGUACACAGUACAGGGGCUGCACAGAUGUGCAACAAUUUUAUCGAGCCAUGGCAUCUGAGUGUGAUGGUGCCCUGUCAAUUUAUAAUAUGCCAACCCCUAACUAGCCUAGGAGUAAACAGGUUGAUUUGCAUUAUUUGGAUCUUCUCUAACAGAAAUCAACUGAGGACCACCAGACAGCAUCUUAACAGACGAGCUCUUCUAGUAAAAUUUUGAGUGAUGAUGGAGAUUGGGCCUACGACAAGCGUGUUGAAGUUGAAGAACAUUUACCAGAGCAAAAAGUACUGAAAGAUAAGUCUGCUGUAACCAUAGAUUCGCACAAUAGUUUAGAGCUACGGGUAGUAGUAUUUUCUCUACCGGGUUGGUUACUAUUCACGUUCUUCAGCAAUCAGAUCCAUGCAGUGCUUGCUAAAUCCGUGCAGGUUUCAAGUGAAGCGAAAACGGACAAAUUACCAAACUGGAAUCAGCGCAAGCGACAGCUCUUAUGCAAGAAGUCGUACCUACCCUCACAAGUUUGUUUGAAGUGCAUAAUGGUAUAAGCUAUUUUAAAUGCCGAUAUGCACUGCUAUACUUAUAAAGAGUUAACCAUAUUUUAUACGCCAUCACCAUAGACCACGCUAUUGA